RNAcentral lists this ribosomal RNA (162 nucleotides) under Bruguiera parviflora. RNAcentral describes it as "5.8S ribosomal RNA". It matches the Rfam family "5.8S ribosomal RNA". From Rfam's summary of the family: 5.8S ribosomal RNA (5.8S rRNA) is a component of the large subunit of the eukaryotic ribosome. It is transcribed by RNA polymerase I as part of the 45S precursor that also contains 18S and 28S rRNA. Lineage: Eukaryota; Viridiplantae; Streptophyta; Magnoliopsida; Malpighiales; Rhizophoraceae. The record is from RNAcentral.
AACGACUCUCGGCAACGGAUAUCUCGGCUCUCGCAUCGAUGAAGAACGUAGCGAAAUGCGAUACUUGGUGUGAAUUGCAGAAUCCCGCGAACCAUCGAGUCUUUGAACGCAAGUUGCGCCCGAAGCCUUCUGGCCGAGGGCACGCCUGCCUGGGUGUCACAC